GAAAAACUAUGUUGAUUAGAUAAAUGUUAAGCAGUGUUUAAAAGUACUGGUUGAGAAGACAAAACAGAAAGUUUGUUUUAUGAAAAAACACCAUUAAUAUAUACAUCUAUAUAUAAUGUGUAGAAAAGCUUAAUAGCAUUUUAAACUCCUCAACUAUAGUGAGAAGACAGGUGAGCAAAACCCUAUUUAUUAAGGUGUUUGUUUACUAAAACAUGCUUUAGAUUGUAGGUCAAACAAUUUGAAACUUGAUUGUAAAGAAGACUUUAUUAGGUAGAUGCAUAUGGACCUGUAAAGUAUGAAGAGACAUAUAUGUUCAAUGCUCGAGGUUAGGUUUUUUAUUUUUUCGUUAGUGGGAAGGAGCUUGGGUUCUUUUGUGACAUCGAUGUGAAACCACUUUACAUAGUUUCUGUUACUGUUUUUGUUUUGC
RNAcentral lists this long non-coding RNA (427 nucleotides) under Phaseolus vulgaris (common bean). RNAcentral describes it as "long non-coding RNA (PVUL_LNC003815)". The record is from RNAcentral. Lineage: Eukaryota; Viridiplantae; Streptophyta; Magnoliopsida; Fabales; Fabaceae.